Molecule: ribosomal RNA, 425 nt
Filed under: Serratia marcescens
Lineage: Bacteria; Pseudomonadati; Pseudomonadota; Gammaproteobacteria; Enterobacterales; Yersiniaceae
Description: bacterial SSU rRNA
Rfam family: Bacterial small subunit ribosomal RNA
Source: RNAcentral
CCAGAGAACUUUCCAGAGAUGGAUUGGUGCCUUCGGGAACUCUGAGACAGGUGCUGCAUGGCUGUCGUCAGCUCGUGUUGUGAAAUGUUGGGUUAAGUCCCGCAACGAGCGCAACCCUUAUCCUUUGUUGCCAGCGGUUCGGCCGGGAACUCAAAGGAGACUGCCAGUGAUAAACUGGAGGAAGGUGGGGAUGACGUCAAGUCAUCAUGGCCCUUACGAGUAGGGCUACACACGUGCUACAAUGGCAUAUACAAAGAGAAGCGACCUCGCGAGAGCAAGCGGACCUCAUAAAGUAUGUCGUAGUCCGGAUUGGAGUCUGCAACUCGACUCCAUGAAGUCGGAAUCGCUAGUAAUCGUAGAUCAGAAUGCUACGGUGAAUACGUUCCCGGGCCUUGUACACACCGCCCGUCACACCAUGGGAGUGG